Molecule: ribosomal RNA, 96 nt
Filed under: cyanobiont ZPS 38A of Zamia portoricensis
Lineage: Bacteria; Bacillati; Cyanobacteriota
Description: partial 16S ribosomal RNA
Source: RNAcentral
GCUAAUACCGGAUGUGCCGCAAGGUAAAAGGCUUGCUGCCUGUUAGAUGAGCUCGCGUCUGAUUAGCUAGUAGGUGGGGUCUGAGCCUACCUAGGC